This 216-nucleotide ribosomal RNA is filed under the name Staphylococcus epidermidis. RNAcentral describes it as "16S rRNA. Bacterial SSU". It matches the Rfam family "Bacterial small subunit ribosomal RNA", at positions 1 to 208 of the family's 1533-position model. Lineage: Bacteria; Bacillati; Bacillota; Bacilli; Caryophanales; Staphylococcaceae. The record is from RNAcentral.
UUUUUAUGGAGAGUUUGAUCCUGGCUCAGGAUGAACGCUGGCGGCGUGCCUAAUACAUGCAAGUCGAGCGAACAGACGAGGAGCUUGCUCCUCUGACGUUAGCGGCGGACGGGUGAGUAACACGUGGAUAACCUACCUAUAAGACUGGGAUAACUUCGGGAAACCGGAGCUAAUACCGGAUAAUAUAUUAAACCGCAUGGUUCAAUAGUGAAAGAC